AUCAAUCCUAUUUGUUUCUAAUUAAACCUAACUAAAAUUCCUAAUUCUAAGAACAAAAAUAAAAAUCCUAAUUAAUUCUAAGGAAAAUUCUAUUUAAAUCCUAAUACGCUAAUUAAAUCCUCAAAUCAAGAUUUAUUAACCUAAUUAAACCAACAAUCUAAUUAGCCUAAUAAAAAAUUCAAAACAAUAAAAGAAAAUCAAAGAAAACAAAUAAAAUUGGAAAAAGGGGUGUCAUGGCUAACUAAGGUGUGAAU
Molecule: long non-coding RNA, 254 nt
Filed under: Lathyrus oleraceus (garden pea)
Lineage: Eukaryota; Viridiplantae; Streptophyta; Magnoliopsida; Fabales; Fabaceae
Description: Pisum sativum (pea) long non-coding RNA (PSAT_LNC002858)
Source: RNAcentral